This 65-nucleotide transfer RNA is filed under the name Cerceris albofasciata. RNAcentral's name for it is "tRNA-Cys". The record is from RNAcentral. Lineage: Eukaryota; Metazoa; Arthropoda; Insecta; Hymenoptera; Crabronidae.
GUUUUUAUAGUUUAAUUAAAAUUUUAAAUUGCAAAUUUAAAGAUAUUUUAAAAAAAUUAAAAACU